This 482-nucleotide ribosomal RNA is filed under the name uncultured bacterium. Its description in RNAcentral is "bacterial SSU rRNA". It matches the Rfam family "Bacterial small subunit ribosomal RNA", at positions 8 to 485 of the family's 1533-position model. The record is from RNAcentral.
AGAGUUUGAUCCUGGCUCAGAUUGAACGCUGGCGGCAUGCCUUACACAUGCAAGUCGAACGGCAGCACGGGAGCAAUCCUGGUGGCGAGUGGCGAACGGGUGAGUAAUAUAUCGGAACGUGCCCAGUAGUGGGGGAUAGCCCGGCGAAAGCCGGAUUAAUACCGCAUACGACCUGAGGGUGAAAGCGGGGGAUCGCAAGACCUCGCGCUAUUGGAGCGGCCGAUAUCAGAUUAGCUAGUUGGUGGGGUAAAGGCCUACCAAGGCUACGAUCUGUAGUUGGUCUGAGAGGACGACCAGCCACACUGGGACUGAGACACGGCCCAGACUCCUACGGGAGGCAGCAGUGGGGAAUUUUGGACAAUGGGGCAAGCCUGAUCCAGCAAUGCCGCGUGCAGGAAGAAGGCCUUCGGGUUGUAAACUGCUUUUGUCAGGGAAGAAAUCUUCUGGGCUAAUACCCCCGGGAGGAUGACGGUACCUGAAGA